UGUGAUAGCAAGGGCUGGGCAAGACCGGUGCCAAGCCGCCGCGGUAACACCGGCAGCCCGAGUGGUGAUCACUAUUAUUGGGUCUAAAGGGUCCGUAGCCGGUUUAAUCAGUCUUCUGGGAAAUCUAAUCGCUUAACUAUUAGGCUUCCAGGGGAUACUGUUAGACUUGGGACCGGGAGAGGUAAGAGGUACUGCAGGGGUAGGAGUGAAAUCUUGUAAUCCCUGUGAGACCACCAGUGGCGAAGGCGUCUUACCAGAACGGGUCCGACGGUGAGGGACGAAAGCUGGGGGCACGAACCGGAUUAGAUACCCGGGUAGUCCCAGCUGUAAACGAUGCUCGUUAGGUGUCAGGAACGGUGCGACUGUUUCUGGUGCCGAAGGGAAGCCGUGAAACGAGCCACCUGGGAAGUACGGCCGCAAGGCUGAAACUUAAAGGAAUUGGCGGGGGAGCACUACAACGGGUGGAGCCUGCGGUUUAAUUGGACUCAACGCCGGAAAACUCACCGGGGGCGACAGCAAUAUGUAGGUCAGGUUAAAGGUCUUACCUGAAUCGCUGAGAGGAGGUGCAUGGCCGUCGUCAGUUCGUACUGUGAAGCAUCCUGUUAAGUCAGGCAACGAGCAAGACCCGUGCCCACUGUUACCAGCAUAUCCUUUAUGGAUGAUGGGGACUCUGUGGGGACCGCUGCUGCUAAAGCAGAGGAAGGUGCGGGCUACGGUAGGUCAGUAUGCCCCGAAUCUCCCGGGCUACACGCGGGCUACAAUGGUUGGGACAAUGGGUAUCUACUCCGAAAGGAGUUGGCAAUCUCUUAAACCCAAUCGUAGUUCGAAUUGAGGGCUGUAACUCGCCACUCAUGAAGCUGGAAUCCGUAGUAAUCGCGUUUCAACAUAGCGCG
This 893-nucleotide ribosomal RNA is filed under the name uncultured archaeon. RNAcentral describes it as "bacterial SSU rRNA". It matches the Rfam family "Archaeal small subunit ribosomal RNA", at positions 428 to 1317 of the family's 1478-position model. The record is from RNAcentral.